GUAACGGCGAUACGUCUCGGGGAGGUGUGUAGCAACCUUUGAUCCGGGAAUUUCCGAAUGGGGAAACCUAAUCACGCAAAACGUGAUUGCUUCUUGACGUAAGAUCAGGAAGAGCAAACCCGCUGAAGUGAA
RNAcentral lists this unclassified non-coding RNA (132 nucleotides) under uncultured fungus. RNAcentral's name for it is "sequence contains ITS1". It matches the Rfam family "Bacterial large subunit ribosomal RNA", at positions 62 to 197 of the family's 2925-position model. Lineage: Eukaryota; Fungi. The record is from RNAcentral.